RNAcentral lists this ribosomal RNA (243 nucleotides) under Triticum aestivum (bread wheat). RNAcentral describes it as "partial small subunit ribosomal RNA". The record is from RNAcentral. Lineage: Eukaryota; Viridiplantae; Streptophyta; Magnoliopsida; Poales; Poaceae.
AUGAAACAACAACUGGUACCGUAUAGAAGGGGCCAUAAUCUGGAGAUUCUUGACCAAUUCGAAAGAUCAUUUGGUGUAGUUGAAAUAACAGAAUUGGAACUUGUUUGGUCAAGAAAGGGAAACUCAAUCAAAUUCAUAACUGUCUCAAUAGAAUCUUUUCCUUCUUUUUUUUCUAAAUAUUCAGUUAAGAGAAUUCCAAGGCUCCUUUUCGCCAUGCAUAAACUAAACCAACAACUAAGAUAA